GGCUGGAGUGCAGUGUUAGGAUCUCGGCUCACUGCAAGCUCCGCCUCCCAGCUUCAUGCCAUUCUCCUGCCUCAGCCUCCCGAGUAGCUGGGACUACAGGCGCCCGCCACCACGCCCGGCUAAUUUUUGGAAUUUUUAGUAGAGACGGGGUUUCACCGUGUUAGCCAGGAUGGUCUCGAUCUCCUGACCUUGUGAUGCUCCCGCCUCGGCCUCCCAAAGUGCUGGGAUUACAGGCGUGAGGCGGGCAGAUCACAAGGUCAGGAGAUCGAGACCAUCCUGGCUAACACAGUGAAACCCAUCUCUACUAAAAAUACAAAAAAUUAGCCGCGUGUGGUCAUGGGCGUCUGUAGUACCAGCUACUUGGGAGGCUGAGGCAGGAGAAUGGGGUGAACCCAGGAGGCGGAGCUUGCAGUGAGCUGAGAUUGCACCCCUGCACUCCAGCCUGGGUGACAGAGAGAGACUCCGUCUCAAAAAAAAAAAAAAAGAAAAAAGAGGGACAAUGAUGUCAAGAGGUCUUGUCUCUGGGGCUGCUCAGUCUUCCUAAUUAUCUACAGGAAAACUUUUGUGUUUUUUUCUUUUCUUUUUUUUUUUGAGACAGAGUUUCGCUCUUGUUGCCCAGGCUGGAGUGCUAUGGCACUAUCUCGGCUCACCACAGCCUCCGCCUCCCAGGUUCAAGCAAUUCUCCUGCCUCAGCCUCCCGAGUAGCUAAGAUUACAGGCAUGCAUCACUACGCCUGGCUAAUUUUGUAUUUUUAAUAGAGACGGGGUUUCUCCAUGUUGAGGCUGGUCUCGAACUCCUGACCUCAGGUGAUCUGCCCACCUCAGCCUCCCAAAGUGCUGGGAUUACAGGCGUGAGCCACCGCGCCCGGCCCUCUUUUUUUAUUUUUUUGAGACAGUCUCGCUCUGUCACCCAGGUUGGAGUGCAGUGGUGUGAUCUUGGCUCACUGCAACCUCCGCCUCCUGGGUUCAAGCAAUUCUUCUGCCUCUGCCUCCUGAGUAGCUGGGACUACAGGUGCACACCACCAUGCCUGGCUAAUUUUUGGUAUUUUUAGUAGAGACGGGGGUCUCACCGUGUUAGCCAGGAUGGUCUCCAUCUCCUGACUUCGUGAUGCUCCCGCCUUGGCCUCCCAAAAUGCUGGGAUUACAGGUGUGAGCCUCUUUGCCUGGCCAAAACUUUUCUUUUUUAAAUUGAUAUUAGGAAACUGAAUUAUAUAGCUUUUUUUUUUUUUU
Molecule: long non-coding RNA, 1229 nt
Filed under: Homo sapiens (human)
Lineage: Eukaryota; Metazoa; Chordata; Mammalia; Primates; Hominidae
Description: HSALNT0398654
Source: RNAcentral